RNAcentral lists this microRNA (20 nucleotides) under Gadus morhua (Atlantic cod). RNAcentral describes it as "gmo-miR-455-5p". Its record names the gene gmo-miR-455-5p. RNAcentral also lists the same sequence under 2 other names. Lineage: Eukaryota; Metazoa; Chordata; Actinopteri; Gadiformes; Gadidae. The record is from miRBase by way of RNAcentral.
UAUGUGCCCUUGGACUACAU